AAUUGGAGGGCAAGUCUGGUGCCAGCAGCCGCGGUAAUUCCAGCUCCAAUAGCGUAUAUUAAAGUUGUUGCAGUUAAAAAGCUCGUAGUUGAAUUUCGGGGUCAGUAGGUUGGUCGUGCCACAGGUAUGAACUGGCCUCACUGAUUCCUCCUUCCUGAUGAACCGUAAUGCCAUUAAUUUGGUGUUGCGGGGAGACUGGACUGUUACUUUGAAAAAAUUAGAGUGUUUAAAGCAGGCUAACGCUUGAAUACAUUAGCAUGGAAUAAUGAAAUAGGACGUUCGGUCUUAUUUUGUUGGUUUCUAAGAUUGACGUAAUGAUUAAUAGGGAUAGUUGGGGGCAUUAGUAUUCAAUUGUCAGAGGUGAAAUUCUUGGAUUUAUUGAAGACUAACUACUGCGAAAGCAUUUGCCAAGGAUGUUUUCAUUAAUCAAGAACGAAAGUUAGGGGAUCGAAGACGAUCAGAUACCGUCGUAGUCUUAACCAUAAACUAUGCCGACUAGGGAUCGGAUGAUGUUAAUUUUUUAAUGACUCAUUCGGCGCCUUACGGGAAACCAAAGUGU
RNAcentral lists this ribosomal RNA (559 nucleotides) under uncultured Glomus. RNAcentral describes it as "SSU rRNA". It matches the Rfam family "Eukaryotic small subunit ribosomal RNA", at positions 546 to 1106 of the family's 1831-position model. The record is from RNAcentral. Lineage: Eukaryota; Fungi; Glomeromycota; Glomeromycetes; Glomerales; Glomeraceae.